AUUAAUAGUUAUGUUCUUUAAACUUAAAGAAUUUGACGGUAUCUUAUAUCUAUUCAGAGGAACCUGUCCUUUAAUUGAUAAUUCACGAUUAAUCUUACUUUAUUUAAUUAUUUGUAUAUCUCCGUAAUUAGAAAAUCUUUUUAGAGUUUAAAUUUUCAUUUAUUUUUAUUAAAAUUUAUUUCAGGUCAAGGUGCAGUUUAUGAUAAAGUUAGGGUGGGUUACAAUAAAUUUAUUUUUAUUACGUCUUUUUUGAUGAAUAUUAUUUUUAAAGGUGGAUUUGAUUGUAAUUUAAUUAAUUUAAAUUAAUUGAUUUUAGCUCUGGGGUGUGU
Molecule: ribosomal RNA, 329 nt
Filed under: Systella rafflesii
Lineage: Eukaryota; Metazoa; Arthropoda; Insecta; Orthoptera; Trigonopterygidae
Description: partial 12S ribosomal RNA
Source: RNAcentral